CCUACGGGAGGCUGCAGUGGGGAAUUUUGGACAAUGGGCGCAAGCCUGAUCCAGCUAUUCCGCGUGUGGGAAGACGGCCUUCGGGUUGUAAACCACUUUUGUAGAGAACGAAAAGUCUAUUGAUAAUACCGAUAGAUGAUGACGGUACUCUAAGAAUAAGCACCGGCUAACUACGUGCCAGCAGCCGCGGUAAUACGUAGGGUGCGAGCGUUAAUCGGAAUUACUGGGCGUAAGGGGUGUGCAGGCGGUUUUGCAAGAUGGAUGUGAAAGCCCCGGGCUUAACCUGGGAAAGCCAUACAUGAAUGCAAGACUAGAGUGCGUCAGAGGGGGGUGGAAGUCCAAGUGUAGCAGGGAAAUGCGGAGAUAUUUGGAAGAACACCGAUGGCGAAGGCAGCCCCCUGGGACGCAACUGACGCUCAUACACGAAAGCGUGGGGAGCAAACAGGAUUAGAUACCCUAGUAGUC
This 465-nucleotide ribosomal RNA is filed under the name uncultured bacterium. Its description in RNAcentral is "partial 16S ribosomal RNA". It matches the Rfam family "Bacterial small subunit ribosomal RNA", at positions 338 to 795 of the family's 1533-position model. The record is from RNAcentral.